GAUGAACGCUGGCGGCGUGCCUAAUACAUGCAAGUCGAGCGAACAGACGAGGAGCUUGCUCCUCUGACGUUAGCGGCGGACGGGUGAGUAACACGUGGAUAACCUACCUAUAAGACUGGGAUAACUUCGGGAAACCGGAGCUAAUACCGGAUAAUAUAUUGAACCGCAUGGUUCAAUAGUGAAAGACGGUUUUGCUGUCACUUAUAGAUGGAUCCGCGCCGCAUUAGCUAGUUGGUAAGGUAACGGCUUACCAAGGCAACGAUGCGUAGCCGACCUGAGAGGGCGGACGGCCACACUGGGACUGGGACACGGGCCAGGGUCCUACGGGAGGGAGCAGGAGGGGAUCUUCCGGCAUGGGCGGAAGCCUGGCGGGGCAACGCCGCGUGGGGGAUGAAGGGCGUCGGGUCGGAAAACUCUGUUAUUAGGGAAGAAAAAAUGUGUAAGUAACUAUGCACGUCUUGGCGGGACCUAAUCAGAAAGCCACGGCUAACUUCGUGG
This 498-nucleotide ribosomal RNA is filed under the name uncultured bacterium. RNAcentral describes it as "partial 16S ribosomal RNA". It matches the Rfam family "Bacterial small subunit ribosomal RNA", at positions 28 to 508 of the family's 1533-position model. The record is from RNAcentral.